RNAcentral lists this ribosomal RNA (443 nucleotides) under uncultured bacterium. RNAcentral's name for it is "partial 16S ribosomal RNA". It matches the Rfam family "Bacterial small subunit ribosomal RNA", at positions 339 to 795 of the family's 1533-position model. The record is from RNAcentral.
CUACGGGAGGCAGCAGUGGGGAAUAUUGCACAAUGGGCGAAAGCCUGAUGCAGCAACGCCGCGUGAGGGACGACGGCCUUCGGGUUGUAAACCUCUUUUAGCAGGGAAGAAGCGAAAGUGACGGUACCUGCAGAAAAAGCACCGGCUAACUACGUGCCAGCAGCCGGGGUAAUACGUAGGGUGCAAGCGUUGUCCGGAAUUAUUGGGCGUAAAGAGCUCGUAGGCGGUUUGUCGCGUCUGCUGUGAAAAUCCGAGGCUCAACCUCGGACCUGCAGUGGGUACGGGCAAACUAGAGUGCGGUAGGGGAGAUUGGAAUUCCUGGUGUAGCGGUGGAAUGCGCAGAUAUCAGGAGGAACACCAAUGGCGAAGGCAGAUCUCUGGGCCGUAACUGACGCUGAGGAGCGAAAGCGUGGGGAGCGAACAGGAUUAGAUACCCCCGAGUC